UACAGAGGGGGCAAGCGUUGUUCGGAAUUACUGGGCGUAAAGGGCGCGUAGGUGGCCUUCUAAGUUGAACGUGAAAUCCCUGGGCUCAACCCAGGAACUGCGUCCAAGACUGGGAGGCUUGAAUCCGGGAGAGGGAUGCGGAAUUCCAGGUGUAGCGGUGAAAUGCGUAGAUAUCGGGUGGAACACCAGGGGCGAAGGCGGCUGCCUGGCCCUGACCUGACGCUGAGGCGCGAGAGCGUGGGGAGCAAACCGG
This 253-nucleotide ribosomal RNA is filed under the name uncultured bacterium. RNAcentral describes it as "partial 16S ribosomal RNA". It matches the Rfam family "Bacterial small subunit ribosomal RNA", at positions 524 to 776 of the family's 1533-position model. The record is from RNAcentral.